CAUCUUUGUCCGGAGGAGUACAUUUAGUAUCUUGACCUGCAAAAGUAAAAAACCAAUGAUUGCUGCAAAAUAACAACAUAGACCUUUGAGGCAACUGACAAGAGGAACUGCUUUACCAAUUACUUCCAGAAGAGCUUUGGACGUUCCCAUUAACAGUGCAUUAAUGUACCCUUUAUCUUAGGUUCAGAUUACAAAAUACCUUCAACAAACUUUCUGGCUUAAGUGUGCAUGUUCUGAGCUUGCAGGGUUAUGCAUAUUUAUAAUUUGGUUUCACUCAUAGAGGAUUUGGCUCUAAAAUAAAAAUUUGGUCAUCAAAAAGGUGUGUGUGUGUGUGUGUGUGUGUGUGUGUGUGUGUGUGUGUGAGAGAGAGAGAGAGAGAGAGAGAGAGAGAGAGAGAGAGAGUGAAGUGUGUGUGUGUGUGAGAGAGAGGUGUUGGAUGUUGCGGCACGCAGACCACAACGUCUGCGUGCGCGCCAGCAUUGUAAAAAUAGACAGUAUAUAAUAAUUUACACACACUCGCGUGGAUUUUGCCUCCAGUUCAGUUGGUGUUAUUCUCAUGUUUCCAUUCACAGGCAGAAACGAACGGGUCUACAACCAGCCUUUUUGCAAAGUCUUAAACAGAGAAGCGCUACAAUUCCUCGAUAAUCCGCACCGAAUCCUCUAUUUACGAGUACAAAUGUUUACAUGGUUUGCGCAUGCCUCGAGUCACUCGUCAUUUGAAGACGUUAUUUCGUCGUUUAGCUCUUUGUGUGUUAAAUCUGUCAGAGGGGAAUGCUUACUGCAGAAUUAAAACAGACUAAAUAGAAGUUUCUCGAUAGGAAAUAUUUCUAAUUUAUUGUAUAUAAAGUGAGUAACCUCGUCUUUCUUUUUGGAAUGAGUUCAAUAUGCUGAAUAUUGUUUUGUCUUAUUGGAACAUGCAUCUUACUGUAAUAUAGAUGGUUUUUUUCCUUUUGUCUGUCAUGUUCUUUAGAUUCUGUUUUCCAUGUUGUUGUGCCGGCUGUCUGAAUGAUCUGUUCUGAUGUCAGUCCGAUCAGCUCUCUGUGUAUGAUUUGUUUAACGGUAAAGUGUUGGGACAGAGAGGACGAAAAGGUUGGAUUAAACUGAAGCAAUGCUUCUCUGUAACUUAUCAUUUCUAUUUGAAUUAUUGACUCUGUCCCCUUCUGCCCUUACUAUGACUCUCUCCCGCUUCCCGCCCCAGUAUUUACUCUCCUGACUGGAGGAACAAAGUUUCUGGAGUAUUAUUUGCUGUUGAUAAAUAUGGACAGAGCUACACAAGUCACUCCUUUUUUUUUUUUUUAAAUGAGACAAAUGUUAGCCAUGUGGCCACAUAAAGGCUUUAUUAACGAGCAGGCGAACUCCAGUCACUCUGAUCCUCUCCUCCAUGUGAAAUGUUCCCUUCUUGUAUGUUUUCCUCUCUUCUGUGUGUUGUUGUCUCUUGUUUCUUUGUGCGAUGGCACUGCUGAUGCUGGAUUCCUAUUAAAGAGACUUUACAGUA
Long non-coding RNA from Dicentrarchus labrax (European seabass), 1495 nucleotides. RefSeq lists it as uncharacterized. Lineage: Eukaryota; Metazoa; Chordata; Actinopteri; Moronidae. The transcript has 2 exons. The record is from RefSeq and is a predicted model, not a curated record.